RNAcentral lists this long non-coding RNA (486 nucleotides) under Manihot esculenta (cassava). Its description in RNAcentral is "long non-coding RNA (MESC_LNC007013)". Lineage: Eukaryota; Viridiplantae; Streptophyta; Magnoliopsida; Malpighiales; Euphorbiaceae. The record is from RNAcentral.
GCGGUUGAUCAGGUAUCUGAAGAACCAGUAGCACCAGAGUCUGAUGCUCCGGCGGAAGCAGUGGUGGAAACUAAAGAGGUGGUAGAGGUUGAAGAAGCAAAGGAUGUGAAAGAAGAGCCAGAAGUAGAGAAAACUGCGGAAGAGGAGACUCCCGAGGAAGAAACAUCUCAGGAGGAACCAGCACCAGAGACCGUUGUUGAGGAGGCUCCCAAAGAGACAACUGAGCCUGCAACUGAUGCAGAAGCACCGGCACCGGAAGCUCCGGUUGAAGCUCCGAAGGAGGAAGAAGGCGGUGAGAAGAAGAAGCCUGAAGCAGAAGAAGCUGCAGUUGAGAAGCCUGAGUAAAGAGUCGAAGGGUACGGUGGUUUUCUUGAAAGCUUGUUUAGUGGGUAAGCUAGGGUUGGUCAUUGCAUGCCAUUCUGUAAUAUUCCUCUUCUAGCUUGUGGUUUAAUAAGAGUACUAGUUUCUUUUUAGGGUAAUGGGUCU